Molecule: ribosomal RNA, 200 nt
Filed under: uncultured bacterium
Lineage: Bacteria
Description: partial 16S ribosomal RNA
Rfam family: Bacterial small subunit ribosomal RNA
Source: RNAcentral
ACGCUCGACACCUACGGGAGCAGCAGUGGGGAAUAUUGCACAAUGGGGGAAACCCUGAUGCAGCAACGCCGCGUGAAGGAAGAAGGUUUUCGGAUCGUAAACUUCUAUCAAUAGGGAAGAAAGAAAUGACGGUACCUAAAUAAGAAGCCCCGGCUAACUACGUGCCAGCAGCUGCGGUAAUCUGAGCGGGCUGGCAAGGC